GGACACUGGGCUGGUUAUGUUACGCAGAUCUGGCAACCCUGGUAUAGCAUCAAUUUCUUGGUUGUAUUCAUUCAGUCGACUAAAAAUUUAAUGUUCUCUCAACAGUUUUAAUUGUGUGAACUAUUUACCAUUCAAAGCGAUUUUUUUUUUUUUUUAAAUCAGUGAACUACCUUUUAUGUUUAUGCAUUUGGAAGACACUUCCAUCCAAAGUGACUUGCAUUGCAUUCAAAGUGUCGAAAUCGAACCCCCGACCUUGGCGUUGCAAGCGCUGUGCUCCACAUUCUGACCUACAGGAAUAAAGCAUGAUCACUUGCUCUAAUAACUAAUUUUUAAAGGUAAGGGCUUUCACAAACGCACCAGCAAUGAAACAGCAGGUGUUACAAAAUCAUUUUAACUUUGUCUGAAUUCAGAAAGUAACCCGAGUGCACUUUGAUUCCUUGUUGACUUUAAAAACAGCCGUAAGUGAACUUCAGCGCACGUCUCUCUCUGUCUCUCGUCCAAAGCGCCUCUCUCGCUGUAACUAAGCGCGCAUCUGUUUCGUGUGCGCGCCGCGGGGCCGCUCUCCUCGCCUUGGAGCGCGCGUUGUCCCCGCGCGUCUCGCACAGUUAGAGGUGAUUUGCAGUGACGCGUGCUUGGAGUGCACCUUCCCAGUUCACUGUCAGCUCAAUGCGACCUGGCAGGUCCAGGGGAACACGCUGUCAGUCGCCUGAAAGCGCGGCUCUCUUUGCCUGGACCGCAAUGUCGCGAGAGCGCCGCGGAGGUGAGCGACACUCGCGCGUCUGAUGUCGCUACAAGAUGUGCUUUGGAUAUGCAAAUGACAGCACACGGUAACACAGCCUUCAGGAUAUCAGGAGCGGUGACCUCCACACGACCCCACAGCUCCAGCUACCACAUGUGAAGUUACUACCACGGGAAUCACAUCAGACCAACACAACCCAGAUGAUACGGUCCUGGACACACAUAUGAAGUGUGUUGGAAGUAACACAAGUAAUGCGAUCAGAUUACUUUUCCAGUACCUACUAAAGCAACAUAUUACUUUUUAAUUUAGAAGGAAAUAUCUAAGUUACUUUUUCAAAUAAGUAACACCAGUUAUUUUGUUUCCCUUGUAUUAAGUGACAGCUCUUGUGUUGCCAUGUUGAGAGAAAUCUGGAGUAAGUGCAGAGUGUUGUGUGUGAACAUGAUCUUACUGUAGUUCAUGUGUCAACAUGCAUUUAUUCAUCUCGCCCGCACAAAAACGCAUUCAGUAUUCCUCAAAAUGAAUACAAAUGAUGCAAGCCUGCAAUAAUUAAAUAGAUGUAGAAGUAUUUAUUCACACACUGCUGCUGACCUUCAA
Cyprinus carpio (common carp) is the source of this 1333-nucleotide long non-coding RNA. NCBI's taxonomy places the organism in Eukaryota, Metazoa, Chordata, Actinopteri, Cypriniformes, Cyprinidae. The record is from Ensembl.